RNAcentral lists this ribosomal RNA (253 nucleotides) under uncultured bacterium. RNAcentral's name for it is "partial 16S ribosomal RNA". It matches the Rfam family "Bacterial small subunit ribosomal RNA", at positions 524 to 776 of the family's 1533-position model. The record is from RNAcentral.
UACGUAGGCAGCGAGCGUUGUUCGGAAUUACUGGGCGUAAAGAGUGCGUAGGCGGUGUUCUAAGUCUGGUGUGAAAUCUCCCGGCUCAACUGGGAGGGUGCGCCGAAAACUGGAGGGCUUGAGUAUGGGAGAGGAAAGCGGAAUUCCUGGUGUAGCGGUGAAAUGCGUAGAUAUCAGGAGGAACACCUGCGGUGUAGACGGCUUUCUGGACCAUCACUGACGCUGAGACACGAAAGCGUGGGUAGCAAACAGG